GAACUCAGAGACCAAAUGUAGUGAUCUCUACUCACAUCCCCAGUGCUUCAGAAGAGCUGACCACAGCCCCAGCUCCAGGGAUGGGCUUUCCCUUUCCAGAACCAAGGCCCAGACCAGUGGCCUGUUCCAUCUUUUGGACGAUUGGGAAGUUCUACCUUGUUGCUGAGGACAUUUGGAGCUGCUUCCUGUGCUGAAUGGUUUCCACUUACCCAUCCAGAUUCACCCUCUACCUCCUUUACCCUGCUUUCUGCCCCAGGAUGCUGAGAAGUGUGGACCACAUCAACAGUAGUUAAUCCUUGCUCUCUUGCUCAGAGUUGGGUUCAGCCAGUUGAAGACAUUGGCAGGAGAAUAGCCCACAGGAGGAAAGAGGCUGGGGUAUUAAUAUCCUUAGCUCCUUCCCUGCCAAGACACAGCAUGUUGGCUGCAUUCCUCUACCAAAAGCCACAGCUCUUGCCAGGCAGCCCUGUUGUACAUCUAUAGCUCUUUUUUCUGGGUUCUGUUAACUGGUCUCUCUGUCUGCAAAUUCAAACAGGAAGGUAAGUGCUGUGAUCAGGGAAGCAGAGACUGAGAUGGGAGCAAAGAGAGGGGGCAUCCAACUCAGACUGGGGGAAUAAAGAGGGUCAGAAAAUGUUUACCUACAGGCUCCUGAAAUUGCAAGCCUUCUGCUUGUGAUCAAAACUAGUAAUUUUCCUUAUGUUUAGGCCAGAAGCAUCUGGGACCAGUGAACUGGUCUGGUUUCCAGCAAUUUUCCACAGGUCAAGGUGAGCUUGGGAGGGCAGGAAGCGGUUUUGCUCACCGCUAUGUCCUCAGAACCCAGCACACGGCAUGAGGCUGCCAAGCUGUACAA
Long non-coding RNA from Orcinus orca (killer whale), 847 nucleotides. RefSeq lists it as uncharacterized. The transcript has 3 exons. Lineage: Eukaryota; Metazoa; Chordata; Mammalia; Artiodactyla; Delphinidae. The record is from RefSeq and is a predicted model, not a curated record.